Molecule: transfer RNA, 72 nt
Filed under: Fidelibacterota bacterium
Lineage: Bacteria; Pseudomonadati; Fidelibacterota
Description: tRNA-Thr
Rfam family: tRNA
About the family: Transfer RNA (tRNA) molecules are approximately 80 nucleotides in length. Their secondary structure includes four short double-helical elements and three loops (D, anti-codon, and T loops).
Source: RNAcentral
GCCUACGUAGCUCAGUGGUAGAGCACUUCCUUGGUAAGGAAGAGGUCGCCGGUUCAACCCCGGCCGUAGGCC